This 301-nucleotide ribosomal RNA is filed under the name uncultured bacterium. Its description in RNAcentral is "partial 16S ribosomal RNA". It matches the Rfam family "Bacterial small subunit ribosomal RNA", at positions 509 to 807 of the family's 1533-position model. The record is from RNAcentral.
CAGCAGCCGCGGUAAUACGUAGGUCCCGAGCGUUGUCCGGAAUUAUUGGGCGUAAAGCGCGCGCAGGUGGUUUAAUAAGUCCGAUGCGAAAGCCCACGGCUCAACCGUGGAGGGUCAUUGGAAACUGUUAAACUUGAGUGCAGGAGAGAAAAGUGGAAUUCCUAGUGUAGCGGUGAAAUGCGUAGAGAUUAGGAGGAACACCAGUGGUGAAGGCGGCUUUUUGGCCUGUAACUGACACUGAGGCGCGAAAGCGUGGGGAGCAAACAGGAUUAGAUACCCGUGUAGUCCCUGUCUCUUAUAC